GCGCCGGUGGCGUCGAACGCCAACCCGGCCCUGCUGCAGGCGGAGCUGGAGUUGGAGCGACAAAAACUGCUGAAGGAAGCUGUUGACGUCGCUCAUGCUCGACAACAACUGGAUAUUUCACUCCUUGAGUAUAACGAAGCCCAUGGUCUUAGUUCUACUGCGUUUACUAACCCUAGCCGAGUUGGGGAGGUGCAUAACCGUGGCAAGAACUUGAAUGCCGAGAUGACUAGAGAUGGCAGGGGUGUGCCAGCAGUGUCGGCAAGUUACGCAUCGGCGCUAAAGCCGAAAUACAAUACCCCUGUCAAGAAUCU
This 311-nucleotide long non-coding RNA is filed under the name Brachypodium distachyon (stiff brome). RNAcentral's name for it is "long non-coding RNA (BDIS_LNC003033)". The record is from RNAcentral. Lineage: Eukaryota; Viridiplantae; Streptophyta; Magnoliopsida; Poales; Poaceae.